GCUAGUCGCACGAGUUCAGACUCGUGGCGAAUAGCUCAGUAACACGUGGCCAAACUACCCUUCGGAACACAAUACCCUCGGGAAACUGAGGCUAAUAGUGUAUACCAUACCACCACUGGAAUGAGUGGUAUGCCCAAACGCUCCGGGCGCCGAAGGGAUGUGGCUGCGGCCGAUUAGGUAGACGGUGGGGUAACGGCCCACCGUGCCAAUAAUCGGUAUGGGUCAUGAGAGUGAGAACCCAGAGACGGAAUCUGAGACAAGAUUCCGGGCCCUACGGGGCGCAGCAGGCGCGAAACCUUUACACUGCACGACAGUGCGAUAGGGGGAUCCCAAGUGCACAGGCAUAGCGCCUGUGCUUUUCGGUACCGUAAGGUGGUACCAGAAUAAGGGCUGGGCAAGACCGGUGCCAGCCGCCGCGGUAAUACCGGCAGCCCAAGUGAUGGCCGAUCUUAUUGGGCCUAAAGCGUCCGUAGCUGGCCGCGCAAGUCCAUCGGGAAAUCCACCUGCUCAACAGGUGGGCGCCCGGUAGAAACUGCGUGGCUUGGGACCGGAAGGCGCGACGGGUACGUCCGGGGUAGGAGUGAAAUCCCGUAAUCCUGGACGGACCGCCGAUGGCGAAAGCACGUCGCGAGGACGGAUCCGACAGUGAGGGACGAAAGCCAGGGUCUCGAACCGGAUUAGAUACCCGGGUAGUCCUGGCCGUAAACAAUGUCUGCUAGGUGUGGCUCCCACUACGAGUGGGUGCUGUGCCGUAGGGAAGCCGCUAAGCAGACCGCCUGGGAAGUACGUCCGCAAGGAUGAAACUAAAGG
RNAcentral lists this ribosomal RNA (810 nucleotides) under Halorubrum sp. ADMK97. RNAcentral's name for it is "bacterial SSU rRNA". It matches the Rfam family "Archaeal small subunit ribosomal RNA", at positions 53 to 862 of the family's 1478-position model. The record is from RNAcentral. Lineage: Archaea; Methanobacteriati; Methanobacteriota; Halobacteria; Halobacteriales; Haloferacaceae.